UUUUACAUAAAAAAGUUCACCCCAUUCCCCGCUCUUCAUUUAUAACCUUAGAUCGAAUUGUCACACCAUAACUUUCAUAAUAAAGAACAUCUACUCUCUUAUCUAAAACAUUUCUAUGAUUCUAUACCCACUAUUAUUGUAACGCCCCGAGUCUGUACCCUGGACGCUACACGGAGCUCAUAAUCUCGAAGGACCACAAGCCAACCCAUGAUAGGUACCUGCUG
This 224-nucleotide long non-coding RNA is filed under the name Capsicum annuum. RNAcentral describes it as "long non-coding RNA (CANN_LNC013637)". The record is from RNAcentral. Lineage: Eukaryota; Viridiplantae; Streptophyta; Magnoliopsida; Solanales; Solanaceae.